This 3580-nucleotide long non-coding RNA is filed under the name Mus musculus (house mouse). RNAcentral's name for it is "long non-coding RNA chr7:49195540-49199120". The record is from RNAcentral. Lineage: Eukaryota; Metazoa; Chordata; Mammalia; Rodentia; Muridae.
GUUUUUCACAAGGGACUCUGUGUAAAGGCUUGGAGUCACACCUGAGUACAGUAGGUGUUACACAGAGGAAGCGUGCGCUCUUAAUAGGAGUCUAUUAGUAGGUUUCCACCCCACCAUUAAGGGAUAAAGACUCUCAAGGCCAAUGGCCCUUGUUUGGAAAGAAAAUGUUCUGCAGAGCAGGACCCCGGGGAGGAACCUUCUCUCAAAGUGUUUGCAUUCCCUUCCCCAGCGUGAACUUGGCAGGCAAAGCUGCUCAAUGUAAACACAGGUUCCCAGCUACAGCAAAUACCAGGUUAGGCAGCACGGAGGUGGCCACACAAGCCCCAGGGCCAGCCGAUGAAACAGGCUAGCUCUGUACUGACCUCACCAGCCCAUCUCAGGGCUCCCCGGUGGGGCUGGCUUUCCCUGGAGGCAGGGCCUGGACACCUGUACUGUCUGCUCUUUUUACUGGAAUGGCUAGAGAUGAGUCACCACUAUCACUCACUGCUUCCUAGCCUGGGCUCUGUGAAUCACAGACUCCCAAACAUAACACUGAGUGGAAUCAAGAUGAGGAGUCCCUGGGGGGAGCAAGUCAGCAUGGAGGGACAGCAGUGCCCCACAGUGUUAUAAAGUCGUGUGAGAUCAGAGGUCUGUGGGGCCCUGGGAGCAGGGUGGGGGAGGUAAGCAUGAGGGGAGGGAAGGAGGGAAGGCUGCAGAUCUUAACAGAAGUCAGCUCUAACUCAGUGUCCUCCAACUUCUGCCUCAACUCGGUGUUCCUUGUUCUCCAACUCCAUGACCCACUAACCUAGAAACUGACACAAAAGGAACUACAAAGGAGACAGGCUAAUCUGUGUUCUACCAUAAACUUAAAAUGUUUGUAUUAGUUAUUUUUUUCCCAUAACUGCUACAAAAUCUCUGACAAGCAACUUGAGGAAGGCAUGGUUUAUUCUGGCUUACAGUUUGAUACAUUCCCCCAUGGUGAGGAAGACAUGGAGGCAGGAGUUGGGGGCUGGCAGGUCACACACUAGGUGUGCAGUUGGGAAGCAGACAGCCAUGGAUGAUGUACACAGCUCCCUUUGUGUUCAAUCCUGGACCACCCCAGCCUCUGGAAUGGCCCCACUUAUAUUUAAUAUGGAUCUUCCCGUCUCUCAAUCUAGAUAAUUCCUCUCAGAAAUGCCCAGAAAUUUGUCUCCCAGGUAGGUAGACUGUCAUUCUUUACCAAGGCCAUCUUGAGUAGAGUAGCUGAGCCACCUGCAUGUGUUACUCCAUGAGAUUCUCCUGUGAGCAUGAGUGGUCAGUAGCUCAUGGGGAGUUGUCCCUCUAACUAGAGGAGCAGCUGUCAUAGGGAAGGUGUCUGUAGUGUGUGUGCGUCUGUGUGUCUGUGUGUAUGCAUGCACAUAUGCACAUGGAUGGGGGCAUGCACCUUUACCAGUGAGCCAUCUUACCCAUGCAAAUGUUCUUAGCAUUGGAGAAAGAUGUAGCUUUUGUAUAGUUCCAAUCUUUUAAUUUUGGUAAAAUAUAAACAGCAUGGCAUUCACUGUCUUACCACGUGGGAUAACUGUUGGAUGGUGUUAGUUACACUCACUUCCUUGUAUAGUAUCACCAACUGUCCAUCUCUAAAAGGCCUUCAUUUCCGGAACUGAACCUUUACCCAGUAAACACCUUGCCAUGUCUCCUACCUCUAGCCUCUGACAACGAACUUCUGCUCCAUGUCUCUGUAACUUUGACUACUUUAGGUGCCCAUGGGGAAUCAUACAUGGUUUCUCCCUUCUUGUCUGGCUUAUUCCACUUCACAUCGAGUUUUUGAGGUUCAUCCGUAUUGUAGCACAUGUCAGAAUGUUGCUCUUUGUUAAAACUAAAAACAUCCAUUUUCAUGGGCACACAAUGCUUUACUCUUAUUCAGCUAGCAAUGAGCGGCUGGGUUGCUUCUGUUUUUGUCAUCGUCAUCAUCAUCACCACCAUCACCAUCACCAUCAUCAUUGUGAUGCCUCUUUUAGACUGAUUUUGAUAAAAAUGCUUCAAAGCAAGAAAAUUCCACAAUAAAGACAUGGCUUUCUUCCCUUUAUCCUGUGUUUUCACAUGCCACAAGGCUUUUACAAAUAAGAUUUAAAGGUAAAAUAGAGGUUGGAAGAUGGAGAAGAGCUGGCUUGUGCUCCUGGCCCUGUCUCCUACCUAACUGUAUGCUUUGGGAGAAGACCCUUGAAUGUUUCAUGCCUGAGUCCUUAGCAUGUUGAAAAAGGAGGGCCAAGUGUGGACAGUGGUUUGUAAGAGACCAUAAUGAAAGCAAUAUCUAUAGAGUGUUCCCAACCCCCUCCCUCUUGUCUCCUCCACUAAGGAAAUUCACUAAGAAGCCCAGGUUGUUCUUGUGGUAAUCUUUCUGUCUCAGCUUCUGGGAAGCUGGCAUUAUAGUGUGAACUGCUAUGACCUGCUUCUAUGCUGACUUCUUAUCCUCUAUCAGAUGAACUCCUAUUUACGUCCUUCCCUAUUCAAAACAAUUCGAGACUCCCAGCCCUUUACGCUCCACUUCCUCUUCCAUCUUGGAAACCAUCAAAUUGCUCAUCACAACAGAAAGUCCGGCCAUACAGGAAUGUUUGCACUCUUUUGAUGUGAGGCGCGUAGACUCAUCUUCUAGUGCACAGUCUCUGAAAUAGGGUGGAGAUGGCAGCAGUGUGGCCGCCACUCCCCACUCCCAAACCCCAGGGCAGACAUCACUAAUUAAUGGCAGCACUCCUUCCUGCUGAAGCAGACUGGUCCAGAGUCAACAGCAACACCAAGCAGCCAUUCCCCACCCACUUGAUCUCUUGUACAAAAUGCUACCUCCACUCUCCUUUUCUAUGCAGAUAGGAGGCCCACCUACCCUUGAAGGCAGGAGGCAAAAGUCAGCCUCAGUCACUAGAGGAGACCAGAACUUGGUAAGGAGCCUGAGGCUAGGAUCACUACUUUUCUCUGGUCCUCCACUGCUUUUAGACUGGGGUUUAGGUGCAGAGAAGAAAGGGAGUCUCCUGCCAUGGAUGCAGUUACUAGGUGGACAUGAAGGAACCAUCUGGAACCCCAAACUGAAGACCCACCAGUUUCAUGGGUCUGCUUGUUUUGCUGCUCUGACUGUCUGUCUGCACCAGUCAUCAUGGUUCCCAUCUUGACUUGCUUAUGACUGGCCCAUUGUACAUUCAUGGAGAGGACACGGCUUAUUUCGGAGCCAUUUAUGGGAAAGACACUUUCCAAGCCAAAAUGGUGACAACAGACUUGGCCAGAGAAGUAUGUAUCCCAGAACAACAAGCUUCCCUAACUCUUUGCUGAGUCGCUCUGCCAUCAUUAAAGCUUCCAGCAAGACCUAAAGGGAACAGGUGGCACAGUUCUAACUUGCCACAGAAAGUGGACAUCAGGUACCACACAUUUCUUGAGCCUCAUCCUACCUGAGUCUGGAUGCCACAACCCAAGAGCUUCAGGUUGCCAGGAGACCUACUGCAUGGCAUCAUAUCUGCCUACCAGAAAGAAGGGGGGGGGUAUGAAUAAGCCCAUAUUGAGUACCUACUAUGUGCUUACAAUUUGUGGCCAUCCUUUCAUCCCAUCCUCAGAACACUCUUGUUAGAGAACCACCCCC